RNAcentral lists this ribosomal RNA (406 nucleotides) under uncultured bacterium. Its description in RNAcentral is "partial 16S ribosomal RNA". It matches the Rfam family "Bacterial small subunit ribosomal RNA", at positions 30 to 526 of the family's 1533-position model. The record is from RNAcentral.
AUUGAACGCUGGCGGCAUGCUUUACACAUGCAAGUCGGACGAGUGGCGAACGGGUGCGUAAUAUAUCGGAACGUACCGAGUAAUGGGGGAUAACUAAUCGAAAGAUUAGCUAAUACCGCAUAUUAUUCGAGCGGCCGAUAUCUGAUUUGCUAGUUGGUGGGGUAAAGUCCUACCAAGGCGACGAUCAGUAGCGGGUCUGAGAGGGUGAUCCGCCAGACUGGGACUGAGACACGGCCCAGACUCCUACGGGAGGCAGCAGUGGGGAAUUUUGGACAAGGGGCGCAAGCCUGGUCCAGCCAUGCCGCGUGUCGGAAGAAGGCCUUCGGGUUGUAAAGGACUUUUGUCAGAGAAGCGGUACCUGAAGAAUAAGCACCGGCUAACUACGUGCCAGCCGCCGCGGUAAUAC